Molecule: ribosomal RNA, 597 nt
Filed under: Salmonella enterica
Lineage: Bacteria; Pseudomonadati; Pseudomonadota; Gammaproteobacteria; Enterobacterales; Enterobacteriaceae
Also listed under: 1 other name
Description: partial 23S ribosomal RNA
Rfam family: Bacterial large subunit ribosomal RNA
Source: RNAcentral
AGACCCGAAACCCGGUGAUCUAGCCAUGGGCAGGUUGAAGGUUGGGUAACACUAACUGGAGGACCGAACCGACUAAUGUUGAAAAAUUAGCGGAUGACCUGUGGCUGGGGGUGAAAGGCCAAUCAAACCGGGAGAUAGCUGGUUCUCCCCGAAAGCUAUUUAGGUAGCGCCUCGUGAAUUCAUCUCCGGGGGUAGAGCACUGUUUCGGCUAGGGGGCCAUCCCGGCUUACCAACCCGAUGCAAACUGCGAAUACCGGAGAAUGUUAUCACGGGAGACACACGGCGGGUGCUAACGUCCGUCGUGAAGAGGGAAACAACCCAGACCGCCAGCUAAGGUCCCAAAGUCAUGGUUAAGUGGGAAACGAUGUGGGAAGGCCCAGACAGCCAGGAUGUUGGCUUAGAAGCAGCCAUCAUUUAAAGAAAGCGUAAUAGCUCACUGGUCGAGUCGGCCUGCGCGGAAGAUGUAACGGGGCUAAACCAUGCACCGAAGCUGCGGCAGCGACGCUGAUGCGUUGUUGGGUAGGGGAGCGUUCUGUAAGCCUGCGAAGGUGGCCUGUGAGGGUUGCUGGAGGUAUCAGAAGUGCGAAUGCUGACAUA